This 803-nucleotide ribosomal RNA is filed under the name uncultured euryarchaeote. RNAcentral describes it as "bacterial SSU rRNA". It matches the Rfam family "Archaeal small subunit ribosomal RNA", at positions 4 to 828 of the family's 1478-position model. Lineage: Archaea; Methanobacteriati; Methanobacteriota. The record is from RNAcentral.
UUCCGGUUGAUCCUGCCGGAAGCGACCGCUUUGGGAGUUCGAUUAAGCCAUGCGAGUCGUGAGUCUUAGGGACUCGGCAUACUGCUCAGUAACACGUGGAUAACCUGCCCUAUCGUCUGGAAUAACCUCGGGAAACUGAGAAUAAGGCCGGAUAGUUCACAAUGCCUGGAACGGUUUGUGAAUCAAGGUAGGAUGGGUCUGCGGCGUAUCAGGUUGUAGGGGGUGUAAAGGACCCCCUAGCCUUCGACGCGUACGGGUGUUGGGAGACAUAGCCCGGAGAUGGAUUCUGAGACACGAAUCCAGACCCUACGGGGUGCAGCAGGCGCGAAAACUUCACACUGCAGGAAACUGUGAUGAGGGAACUCCUAGUGCAUGCACUAUGUGUAUGUAGAUCCUACUCUUAACAAGUAGAGGGAAAGGGCUGGGAAAGACCGGUGUCAGCCGCCGCGGUAAUACCGGCAGCUCAAGUGGUCGUCGCUUUUAUUGGGCCUAAAACGUCCGUAGCCUGUUUGGUAAAUCUGUGGGUAAAUCAAUCCGCUCAACGGAUUGAAUUCUGCAGAGACUGCCAGACUAGGGACCGGGAGAGGUGUGGGGUACUCGAGGGGUAAGGGUAAAAUCCUGUCAUCCUUCGAGGACCACCAGUUGCGAAGGCGCCACACUGGAACGGAUCCGACGGUCAGGGACGAAGCCUAGGGGCACGAACCGGGAUUAGUACCGGGUAGUCCUAAGUGUAAACGCUGUGACUUGGUGUCGGGGGUCCGCAAGGGGUCCCCGGUGCCGAAUGAACUGUUUACUUCCCUGCU